AUGGUCCAGGACUUUAUCCUCCUAACUGCCACAAGGACCAUGUGCUGCAGCCCCACAAGGACCCUAGUACACAGACUUAUCCAUCACUCAGUUCCUUCCUUGGUAGAGUUGAUCCUGAUUGGCAUACCAAAAUUGAAAAAAUGUACCGGUUCUUAUGGAAUGGAUUUGACUUCCCAUUUAAGUGUUUUGAUGAUCAAGAACUGCCCUCAACUGAAUGAGCUCACUCUUUUCCAGAGUUACUCUUCUUUCGACGCUGAGCAGAAAUCCUGGUUUCCAUCUCUCAGCAAACUGUCCAUCGGGCAGUGUCCUCAUAUAAUCAACAACUGGCCAAUCCUUCCACUAAGAGAAAUGGGGGCACUCAAGGAGUUGGAGUUGAUGGAUCUGCAUGUUGUCAGAGUGUCAGUUCCUUCUCUGGAGAAGUUGGCGUUGACUAAAAUGCCAAUCCUGGAAUAUUGCAGCAGUCUAACGACUUUUCCACCUCUCCAAUCUUCACCUCCUGAAGGAGAUCAGAAUGAAUUGGUGUCUAAUCUCCGUAGACUCACCAUCCAUGAUUGCCCAUGUUUGAUAGUGUCACAUCCUCUUCCGCCUUCUGCUCUAAUUUCUGAGUUGUCCAUCAGUGGGGUUUCGACACUUCCAACAAUGAGGAUAAACUGGAGACGUUUCACUAUCGAAUCUAAUGAGUUGUGUAUGCUGGAUGAGAGUAUCUUGGCAUUUCAUAAUCUGAGGGGCAUAACAUUGUUUCGAAUAAGAAGCUGUCCAAAUCUGAUCUCUCUUUCAAGUGAAUCUUUCAGCCAGCUCAUUGCUUUAGAGACUUUAUCUAUACAUGAAUGCCCUAAUCUUACUAUGUCAAACAUUAUGCCAGAGGUUGUCCAGGAAAACAGCACAUCUACAAGCAGCCUUGUCCCCCCAUCUCUCAAACGUGUCAACAUUAGCACAUGUGGCGUAACUGGGAGGUGGCUAUCUCAACUGCUUUCACAUUCGCAGUCCCUUGAGGAGUUGCUGUUAACUGGCUGUCCGCAGAUAAAGUUUCUAUCAAUCAGUCAACCUAGAGAAACGGAAGGGACCAGCAGUUUGGUUUCAGCAGUGACGACCUCGGCCCAAGAUGAACAUGAAUUGAAACUGCCAUAUAAUCUCCUAUGUUCUCUCAAGGCGCUAUGCAUUCAGCAAAGCCUGGAUCUGAAGUUCAUUGGGGGUAAUACAGGCUCUACAAGAUUCAGCUCUCUUACGCAGCUUUUCCUUCAUGGUUGCCCCAAGCUACUCUCAUUGUUGGUGGGUGAAACAAAAGAUGAUGGUACCAUGGAUGUUGGAUUACUCCCACCAUCACUUGAAGACCUUAGUAUCGGUCCUCUCCCAGAAAACUUGCAGUCAUUCACUCCUGAAGGCCUUUUGUACCUCAAAAAGUUACGUCUAUCUUAUGGCCCAUGUUUGAAGUCUGUACAGCUGCAUUCCUGUACGGCCUUAGAGGAGCUGGAUAUCAUGGGGUGUGUCCAGCUGACUGUACUGGAGGGCUUGCAGUUUCUCAGCUCCCUUCGAAGCUUGAAGAUGGAGAUGAAUUCCGAGCUGUCUUGUGCAUGGGAUCUCAAACUGCAGGAACAAGAGCAGGGUGGGAAUCAAAUUCAGUUAUUUCCUCGGUCACUUGAUAAACUUGAGAUCACGGCCGUCACGGACAGGGUCCAAUCCCGUCUUCUGUCCUGCCUUCCUGCCAUGACCAAAUUAGCAGUACAGAGAAGUCCGGAACUGACGUCUCUACAGUUGGCAUGCUGCACGGCACUGAAAGAGUUGGAAAUUGGAGACUGCGACUUGCUUGCGUCGAUCGAGGGCCUCCAGUUCUGUAGAAACCUGACAUCCUUGAAAGUAUUUAACUCCCCCGGCCUACCUUCCUGUUUUCAACUUUUGUCCGACCAGCAAGGUGUCUGUGAAGUAUGGUCUGGAUUGAAAACUCUUGUGGCUAGUGACGCAUCUAUCCUGUCCAGGCCGUUCUGCAAACAGCUGACUUCCCUAAGACGUCUACAGUUUGGCUCUGCGUAUAGUGCAAGCUUGGUGAACCUAACAGACGAACAAGAGAGAGCUUUACAGCUUCUAACCUCACUCCAAGAACUUCAAUUCCUGAGAUGCCCGAAUCUCUUAUCACUUCCUGCAAUCCUAUAUAGCCUGACCUCCCUCGGAACAUUAUCUAUCGUACAUUGUAGGAGCAUCACAAGGUUGCCAGACAUGGGCUUUGCACCUUCGCUCAGUCACCUUGAGGUAGCCUAUUGCAGUGAGGAGCUAGGUAUGGAGUGCAGAAUUGCAGCAACUGAAAAGCUAAGAGUCACAAUUGAUUAUGUGGAUGUGAAUUAA
Molecule: ribosomal RNA, 2337 nt
Filed under: Triticum aestivum (bread wheat)
Lineage: Eukaryota; Viridiplantae; Streptophyta; Magnoliopsida; Poales; Poaceae
Description: partial small subunit ribosomal RNA
Source: RNAcentral